Molecule: ribosomal RNA, 430 nt
Filed under: uncultured bacterium
Lineage: Bacteria
Description: bacterial SSU rRNA
Rfam family: Bacterial small subunit ribosomal RNA
Source: RNAcentral
UGGGGAAUCUUGCGCAAUGGACGAAAGUCUGACGCAGCCACGCCGCGUGAGUGAAGAAGGCCUUCGGGUUGUAAAGCUCUGUCACCUGGGACGAAAAACAUUAAGGUUAAUAGCCUUAGUGUCUGACGGUACCAGGGGAGGAAGCACCGGCUAACUCUGUGCCAGCAGCCGCGGUAAUACAGAGGGUGCAAGCGUUGCUCGGAAUUAUUGGGCGUAAAGGGCAGGUAGGUGGUCUUAUUUGUCUAGGGUGAAAUCCCGGAGCUUAACUUCGGAAGUGCCUUAGAAACGGUAAGACUAGAGUCCUAGAGAGGUUCGUGGAAUUCCCGGUGUAGCGGUGAAAUGCGUAGAGAUCGGGAGGAAUACCAGAAGCGAAGGCGGCGAACUGGAUAGGAACUGACACUAAACUGCGAAAGCGUGGGGAGCAAACAGG